This is a long non-coding RNA of Pseudopipra pipra, 11522 nucleotides long. RefSeq lists it as uncharacterized. Lineage: Eukaryota; Metazoa; Chordata; Aves; Passeriformes; Pipridae. The record is from RefSeq and is a predicted model, not a curated record. The transcript has 6 exons.
GUUAGAAAAAAGCAACAUGAGCUCUCUUUCUGUGCGCUGGUUUAAAUCCCAUCCUAUUUUAAACCCCAUCUUUGAUGGUCUUAUCUAACACUGGCAGAAAAACAGAGGAUGUUGCUUCUCAUCAGGACAGAGCUUGCAUUUAUCUUUCUUUCAAGUGGCACAAUAAAAUAUGGGAAUAAACUUCAGCUUCCCAUGUUUUAAUUCUUCUUUUUUAAUCCCUGUUUUCAUUUUCGAAAUUAUUUGGAUACAAGAAGACAUUUUUUUCUCUUUCCACUUCUGAUUUGUUUGUUGGAGCACUGCCUGCUCACCCUAUUCGGACGUCUAGAGACUCUCUAUUUUUCCAUUUCUGGAAUAGUCAUUCACAACUCAGUGGUUCUUGAGCAAACUCUCAGAAUUUACAGUGUGUUUAUUGGUCUCUCACCAACUGCAGUUUCUGUCUUGUAAUAUUUUGUUUCAAAGUUUCUCUCAGAUACCGUUAUAUAGAUUUUCUUCACAAAAUAAUUUUGUUGUAAGCCUAGGAGUUUAAGUGACAAUCUUCCUAAAGGAUCUAGCUAAUUAGCUAAUUAAAAUGUAAGGGUUUUACGUAAUUUGUUGAACUAGUGGAUUUAAGACAUAAUUGAUGGGUUAAUACAUUUUUAAUAGUAAACUAGUGUGCAAAGGAUACCAUUUGUGUGCAGCAUUGCAGGAAUGCACAAUAAAACUCUUCUGUGUUGAAGAGACCAUACUCAGGUCCAAAUUCUGCCAGUUGUGCCACACAGAUUAAGGGCAGGUUUGUGUAAAAGAGCUUGUAAAAUCUGGUAAAAUAGGGGAGAACCGGUAACCCUGGAUGGAUAUUUCCUCAAAGUGCAGGUAAGGUGGUCUGACUUUUGAGGUGUUGCCAUUGAAAGGAACAGUGAGAAAGAAGAGGUGUGUGGCAUAAACUGAAGCAGAAAUAGCAUGGAAGGAAAAUGCUGAGGGGGAAGUUCAACAAACUGUAAAGCAGAAAAACAUAUGGAGGAAUGAUUGAAAGAUUAGACUUUGGUGGGUUUUGCAUCAGGACCCAUUGCUGUUCUGCCCAACACCUAAUUAGCCUGGUACAGGGAAACGUUAAUGGACUUCACUAUUGACUUUUUUCAUUUUUACAGCUAUAUAAGUUGAAGUGUGGAAGGAAGAUGUAGAAGUGAAUAAAAGGCUGGAAUGUGCUACAUGUGCAUGAGAGUGGCCAGGGCCACUGAACAGUGCAAUGAGACAGGAGCAGGGGAUGGGAACCAGUCCAUUAAAUGAAAUAUCUGCCAAAUCAGACCUGCCCUAUGACUGCAUUUCUCAUUUUACUUCCUUUAUUCCUUCCUAAAGUGUACAGCUUUCAGAUAGACACUUUUGGGAGACUGCCUCAAAAAGAAAACUGCAUCUAUGGUUUGGUUUGAGUACUAAUAGUAUAAUAAUUGUGCUUUAGAAAUAGCCUAGUUUUAAGCCUGGGCAUGAAAUAAUUCUUUUCUAGAAACUGAGACUGUUUGUGAAUCUUUCUUUUCCUGCUGUGGUCCUUUCUGGGUUUUGUCCAGGAUAUCCUUGGAAAUGUGAGCUCCAGAUAUAUCACGAGACAGCCUGUGUUAUGUGGCAGCUGCAUGUUUCAGAACAAAAUGCUGGAGGACAUGGCUAAAUGUGCGUGUGGACUUCUGGAUGUUGAUCAGCACCAAUUGCAAACAUCCUGUUUGGUUGCUGAUCACUGAUUAGCACUGUAAAGCAUCACAAACAAGAUAGAUAGCUUUAGCCACUAAAAAUGAGUCCUCUUCCACUCUCAUGGUCUUUCUAGACAAGAAUUUUCUAAACAGCCAGGUGCAAAUUUGUUUCCAGGGAUCUCACAAACCAGAUUUUGGUCCCAACUAGUUAUUUCAGGCCUAUUUAGACUCUACUGAAAGAUGGAUUUAUAAGGAAAAUGUUGACAGAUCCUGACCUCUUGUAUCACUGGUGGGAGCCACAAUAAUAAUGACUUCCCUUAAUAGUCUUCCAUCAAGUGUUCAAAGCAGUAGUUUUUCCUUUGGUGCAAACAUAAAAAAUGUGGACAGUUUUGUUUUCCUAAACUUGGACAACAUGUAUGUUUCCACCAUUUCUGUGGGAAUGCAGUACACCCUUUUUUAAUUUUAUUAAAAACCACCUUUUUGGCUAAAGUGUGUGCCAUCGCAAAUGCUUUAAGUCUGUCUCAUGUAUCAUGUUCUAGGAAGCUGGAGUCUGCGUAUUUUAUUUCUCCAGGACUUUCUUCCUUUGAGGAGUGUAGAUGAGAACUGUGUUUUUCUUCUCAGAAUGCCUUCAAAUUGGUUGCCUUCCUAACCUGGACAUUGUAAGUGUUUCCAAUAGUUAAAUGACUGUCAAUGAUAGUAAUAUUUUACUGGUACUUGUGUUGCUCAUUGACCCAAACCAAAAUUGAUGAUGGUUAUAGUGAGCUCUGACAUCUGGAAAAAGUUGUAGUGAAUCCCAGCUGCAGUUUAGUUCUUAAUCUCUUGGGAAAAGCCUCUUGCAUUUCAUCUGGGUUGGAAAUCUUGAAAUCAGCUUUGGAUGUGCGUGUGGAAAGAAAGAUAUAAGAGACAAUGCAGAAGGAUCACAGUGUUUCCAUUGUUGUACUUUUUGAAUUCUGCCCAGUAAGGAAGGCACCCAUCUAAUAUAAAUGUAAAGGCUUGUCAGUGCAAGGCAAAAGUUACAUGUUAAAAUGUGUAUCUAUGUUCUAUAGACAGUUUGUUUAUAAAUUAGUCUUCAGUGUCUGACAGGAAGAGUGAAGAAAGAUUUGGGCUGGCUCAUGAAAUCCCACACAGAGCAAUAAAGUGCUUUCCAGAGAAAGGACUAGCUUUUCUCUGAGCCACAGAAGGGUAAAACUUACACUCUUCUCAAAGUUUUACUUUAGAGUUUGUGAAAGGGAUUGGCCUUGCCUACAUACCUCUCAUCAUAAAUGAAAAUAGACAGCCCAUCUGAGGGACUGGCCUUACUUACAUGGAAACUGUUUUACGUAAGAAGAGGAGACUGGUCCAGCAAAGGUGUGGUUUUAUUUACAUCCAUGCCCUUCCCUUAUGAUUGGAGUGUGUUUGGGAGGUGUGGUCUCAUUUACAUCCCGCCUCAACUGCCUUUGGCUUCUCUGAAUUCAACCCUUGCCUGUGGCUGGAAAAGGAACUCCUCCAAGCAGAAUAAAACGGCUGUGUGAAAAACAUGACUGUUUUCUGCCUCUGUUUCUUCAGUGUAUGUGUUCCUGCUGGUAUGUACCUGAAAAGGGAAGGCCAUGUUCCUGAGGAGAGAGUUUUGGGUCUGCGUAGGUAUGUGUAUAUAUGUGUUUGAAAUAAUGAGGUGAACAUAUCAGGUUUUGUGCUGUCCUGAGUGUUAGAGGGUGCUAGAGCUACUUCUGAAGAAAGGUAAGAAAAAGAAGUUCUUAAAGAAUAGCUCCUUUUUUUUUUUUUUUUUUUUUUUUUUUUUUUAAGGUGUAUGUACAACUUUUCAAAGGUGCUGCUGACAGUUCUGGAAGAAGGCCUGUCUUUGGGGGGGGGGUGUGUGUAUGUGUGUGUGUGACAUUUCAAGUAUUCACUUGCAUCAAAGUGAAGCCAGUGUAAACAUGGUAGGAGCAUCUUACAUAAUCUCUGAAGCAGGAUAGAAGGCUACAGCAAAGCAUAAGCAGGGCAGUCAGGAACUGGCUACAUUACAUGCAGUUGCCAUUUAAUAUUCUGUCCCUUCCUCACCAUGUAUAUGGUGUAUAUUCAACUGUAGGGGCCACUGUACCUUAUUUCAGGAAGCAAUUCAGUUGUUACUGGCCUCUGUAUUAACUUUGGAAUGCAGAUACGUUUUUAGCAGAAAGUGGACUGGAGGAACUCCUUGCAUGUGGAUUGUGAGGAAUCCAGAAAACUUUCAAGUUGCUGUUGACUUGGUUGAAUUGAAUUUACAGGGAUUACUAGUCCUUCUCUAUUUUUCUUCUUCCAUCCAUGGCUGAUCAGGCACCACCUUGGUUAAUUCUAGUCAGUAAGAAAGGCAUAGUUUGCUGAUUUGUCUUUUCUUUUUUUUUCUAAAAAGGAAAUGGAAGUAUCUUGGAUCUACAACACUGUGAUGAUUGAGCCAAAUGCAUGUACAUGAGCAUCAGUGUUGUUUUCACUGAGAACAGAGCUAUGGUGUUGCUUUCAUUGUAGGUGGAAAGUGAACAGAGAGUCCCUUUGAUGUGAAGCCCUGAUGUGUGACUGUGUCCAGAAGCACUCAGUACUGAAGGAACUGUGACCAAUACACUGGGACUGGCUGCCUCUGUCGUGGCUGGGAUUACUCUGCUGUGACAUGCUGUUGCUCAGCACAAGAACAAGGCACUUCCAAGAAGAGAGCCUUGUGUGGGGAUGUGCAGGUCAUAGUGCUGUUCUCUAGUUCUUCCCAUUGUUGCCUCUGCUGCCUCUGGUUAUACUCCUGUAACUCAUGGCAAACAUCUAGGCAUGACAGCCUAAAGAUACUAACAUUUUCAAAUCAGAACUCUUUUUCAGCUUUAGAUACCUCUGAGUGCCUUUAUAGACAGCUGGCAAUGAGCCAUUUCUCCUUUGCCCGCAAAAACUUUAGCUAUCUGCCAUACUCUGGUUUAGGAGAUCAAAGGUAAUAAAAUAUUUCCUCUCUUUUCUGUAACCGAGGCAAGCUGAGGUGCACAAAAAUAAUUGCAUGCCAGUCUACCACAAGAGGAAAAGUGUCUGGCAUUGUGUCCCUGGAUUGCAGACAGGUAGGAGAGCCAGAAUGUUUGUCGUCAGGAUCCCUUGCACGUACUCCGGAGCUGCAGCUGAACUUUUUAAGUUACAAAUAGGUAUUGCACCGUCUAUAAAGACACAUCCUCCAGAUGAUGUAAACUGAGUGAUGCACACUGAGGACACCACUGUACAUAAGGCCUUUUUGCACCCAAGGCAGUGACUGGUCUAAACUGCCAUGGCAGAAGCUGUGUAAGCUAGCCUGGACUGUGUGCUAUGCUAUUCUGCUUCUCUGGAGCCAAACUAGGAUGUUUAAAUAAGGCUUUUGAAUCUCUACACUGCCUUGCAUUCAUGGCUUAGCCUGCACUAAUAGACAUAUGCCUCAUUUUUAAAAUUGGCAUAGGUUCCAAAACACAAGGGUGCUUUGUAAAAUUUUCUGGCUUCUUGAUCUUCCUCUUCUCCUUGAACUUUCUUCCUCAGACUUAGCUUCCCUCCUUCAUCCCCAGCAUUGCUCCUGAGCAAACACUCUGGUUACAUCUCUGUGGGCAAGUGAAGGUGUCUGUCCCCAGUGGCAGCUCUCUGGUGAACGUCCAGCAGCUGUUCCCUGUGUCCUGAUGGAUGUGAUAAGCUUUUAGCUAGUGUGCAUACACCAAAAUAGAUUGUUUCUUCUGUCAGAGGAAAAGAUAGCAAGCUUGUAACUUAAGGAAAAGGGAUCCAGUGGGAGAUAAGAGUGUAAGAGACAUUACUGCAGUUCUAUAUUUGGAAUUGGUUACGUAUAUGUGUGGUAACCCAAAUGGUGGGUGGACUGUACUUUCUCAUUACCAUAAUUACAUUUCCUUUCAUAGCUAGGGUUGGGGACGCAUCCAGACAUUGCAGAACACAUCAGUAGAUUUAGUGUGGCUUACUCAGUCUCCAUGUAUCAGACUAUGUCCCAAUUAUGUUACAUUUAGGAAACAGAAUAAUUUUCUGGUUAUAGCACAUGGAAUUUGUGGCAUUCUAAUCCUAGUCAUCCUGCUGUAUGACCUUGGGGAAGUUGUUUUACUUCUCUUUGAUGGUAAAAAAUUAACUCAACCCAUGGAUGGAUUUUAAUACCAUGCCAAGUUUAAAAAAAAUCUUCAGCUAAAGUUAGCCUUCUAAAUCCCUAUUUAGGGGCUAAAUGGGGUCACUUGUUUCCACAAUCCUGAGCACCCAGUAACUGUCUUCAGCUGAGGCCAGCUAGAGAUUUUGGGUGUUCAGCAGUCUGAACAUGAAGUAAAAGAAGAGUGAAAGCAGCUGCUUGUGUGCAUACGAAGAGGAACUCACUGAUGUGGUGUGGUGAGACAGGGACAGCAGUCUGUCUUUCCUGAGUGGUUGUCACAGUCACAGCACUGGGGAAGUGUAGGUGGGAUUAAGCUCAGUAAUUUUGCCAUCUAAAAGUGGAAUGUCUGCCUUAGGCUGGCUGUUCAACAUCUUUUUAGUGGAUCCCUUGGAUCCAGAGCAGCUCUCAACUGGGACAGAUGAGCAUCCCCUGAUGUGUCAUCCUGUCCACCUAUCUGGAUGUGGGCUGAGUUAUCCUGCGGAGACUCUCAGCUUUGUUUGUGAAGUAAAGAGCUUCCUAAACACUUAGACGGCUUGCUCAGGCUCUGCUGAUUGUAAAGUCAGUGAGUGACUUACAGUGCAUUAGAUAAGUCCAAGAGCAUGUUAGAGCUGCUCAUAGCUGCUCAUAGCUGCAUAUCACAGGCCUGAGGUGUUUGGUCAUGAAAGUUAUGAGCAAGUGAAAGCAGGGAGAAAUAGUUGAGCCUUACAAGGAAAAGGAAAUAUAAACUUGACUGUAGUCAUUGAAAAUCUGUUCUACAUUGAUGGCAUGAUUUGUUUCCACUGGAGAGCUUUGUUCUGUAUUUGAGGAGGAAGAUUAAUUUUCCCACGGGAGAAAUAAGCUUUGAAUAAGUCAGCUAAAAAGGAUUGUUCUUAUGUGCACUGCACAUCUAUAGGAGAAACAGAAGACAUUUACAUGCUCCCUGAGGAGAAACCAUGACAAGCAGACAAUUAACCAAUUCCCCGGAAUCCCCAGGUUUAAAGAACCACGUAAUGGCUUAAUUGAGUUGAGUUGCUGAGAGUGUGGCACUGCACUGAGAUUCGUGCUGUGAAGUGCGCGAUUCCCAGAGGCAUCCAUCAGGUUUUAAAGAAUUGACUUUCCAUGCUAAUUGACCCAGAUGUUCCUGAUUUUACCUCACAAUCUCCAUUUCAUUCAAUUACUGUUAAAGAGAAGGGAAUGAGAAAAAAGGGGACUCCAUUUGUCUCAUUUACUAUAUUAAAAGGGAAUUUUCCUAAAGCAACAUUUCAUAGUGCUGAACAAAUUGUUCAACUUGAAUUGGAGCAGCAUUUAUUUUGCUUUUUUUUUUUUAAUUUCCCGAAUGACUGAGCAUGUAUUUUGUAGGCAGUAGAGAAUAUUAGAUAAGCCACUCUGCUUGACAAGGAAAGAGCAGGCAUCGUCACCAGAAGAAUGAGGGCAGUACAGAUGGAUGGAUGGUGUCUGACCUGUCUGACUAGGCAGGGCUGAGCAGCACAGCAUGAGGGCUCAGGGCUCUCGGCUCUCAUGCCUUGGUGCAGUGCUGGUCCACCUGAACAAUCAAAAAAUGAAGAAGGAAAAUCAUGGUUUAACUAUUUUUGUCUUCUAGAAGGCAAGGAGCCAAGUUUGAGGAAUAGGCUUUGCAAUGUGAAUCAGCAGCUGAACUCUUCCAUGUACCAGGCCAGUGGGCACCUCAUUUUGGCAAGCUAUGGUUGUCUUUUAUGUGUGUGUGUAAACAACCCUGGAGCACAAUUAGUCUAAGACUGAUGUUCCCAGUGCAUUCUGGCUGUGUGCAGAACAUGAGUUUUGUUUCUUCUCAAAUUCACAAAGCUUAAUUAAUUUACAAAUCUAGUAUCUCUGUGUGGUAGGGAAUGAGUCCACCUCUGUAGUUACAUUCCCGAAUACCACUGGAGGCUUUUUUCUGUAAGGAUGUUGCUCUGUACCUGGUUAAUGAUUUCAAGUUUACCUCAAAUAUCACUAGAAAGAGACAUGUCGAGGAGCUUUUGUAUGUUCCUAUUUAAACAGGCUGUGUAUCAUUGAAAAUGGUGGAGUUCAUAUGAGUUUACACAGUUGCUAGGGGAGUAGAAUUUAGCCUGAUGCUUGUGAUAAGCCAUAUUUUGUAUCAACUAGUCAAAUUAUGGAACUCUGCUGUGAAGUGAAGGAGUUAAAGGAGUUUACUUUGCUAGGAGUUGUAUGCCUUAUAUGGUCAGUUGAGGCUUUUCUUGCUGCUGGUUUUUUUUUCCUUAAGAAGGCUCGCCUCCAAACUGCUGAAUCAUAUUGCAACCAUAGACCUGGUGAUUUUUCAGAAUUUGAGUCAUACUUGAGCUCUCUGGAUAUCAAGCUGUGAAGCCACACGUGGGCUCAACAGUUUGGCAACCCUCAAGUACAGCUAUGGCAAUAUCAUAUGCAGAGUCCAGAUGUUGGGUGGUUUCAGCCACAGCAUACAGCAUGUUAGAAGAGAGAAACAAUAUGACUCAAAAUUGCUGUUUACUCAAUUUAAAUACCAUGGUUUUUACUGUCCUUGAUGAUUAGCCUGGAUAUUAAGAACCAGACUGCUUUAGAUCUGUAUCCUGUCCCAGAAGAAAGUCUCGUGUAACAACCCAAUAUAAAAUGAGAAAUCUUUUUUAGCAUGUUUGCUCUUGCAUUCUUCCUUACCAAUGUCUUCUGUGAGAAACUGUACCAGUUAGGCCAAUUUCUGAAGACAGUUAUAGAUAUAUCAGGAUUAUUCAAAAGCAACAAGAUCCUGUGAAACCAGAAAUUAAAAAGUCAGGGUAGUACCUGAGGUCUGUAAAUGUAAUAUGAUCAUGUUUUGACUUAAUGCUGUGCUUUUCCCUUACAAGCUGCAGUGAUUAAUUCCUUAGCAAUAAUUAGGUAAGAUGGAGGCAGUCUCUAUUAAAGCAGGCUUCUUCUUCAAAGCUUCUGCAGACUUAGUCAGUUGAGCUCCUUCUCGCAUGCAAUUAAUUUUAAAUAAUGUUCUGUACUUAAAUGAGGUGCUUUGAACUUACUGAAGUUUUGUGCAUAUGAUAAAAGAAACUGAGGAGAGUCUCGGCAAUUUGAUUCUUGUAUCAAUAUUUCUUUAGAAGCAGAGAAUUUAGCCUGUGAAAAGAGUUACUGUUGUUUUGUAGAGCAUUUAAAACAAAGAUCUUUCUUUUUUCACAAUGAACACUAAAUCUGAAAAGGAGCAAACAAUGAAUCACCUAGUCCAAAUUACUUUCUUAUGUCUGCAGAGAACAUGUUGACAAAACUUUGAGGGUUUUGUUUUGUUUUUGUUUUUUUGAGAAUUACUGUGGGACACAUAGUAGCGAAUUGUUCAUUAAUUUGAUCUAAUUUAUUUCAAAUUAGAGGCCUAAAUUUGAGACCUAGACAGCCGUAAAAAUAGGGAGCAUGUUUAAAAAAUACUUACAAAAUGCAAGAAUGUUCCUGUGAAAAUGUGACUAUUGAAGUUUCUGCCUUCAGGCAGAACUGAUGAUCCCUCUGAGCCUGUUGUGCUGCAACUGAACCCUGAAGGUAAUAUGCCUGGUAGUAUACCAGGGUAUUUUUCUGGCUGAAGCAUUAAACUGAGCAUUUUUGUGGGAAGACGUAGUACUAGAGCUGAAGCAGGAGAUACCACAUGGGUGAGCAGGAGGCAACUUUUGUGUACCAGUCUCAGUGCUGAGCAAAUAAACAGGAGGCUCAAAGGGGAAUAUUGUACCGAAAGAAAGAAGAGAUUUAGGGACAUGAAGAAGGGGUAUUGGAAGAAAAAGGGCUUCUUGGGUCUGUGACAUGAAAAAAAGAAUAGUUUAGUUGUUUUCAUGUGGAAGAAGAGUCUAGGAGACAAAACGAGGAGAACGGCAUUAAAAUAUCAAGGAACCAAGAAAACUUUUUGUUUGCUUUGCUUUGUGUUUGUGCAGCUGGGGUAAAACUGAGUUCCUCAGAGGAGAACAUUAAUGGAGCAAAGAAGCACAGGCCCUCAAAACAGAACAGAAAGGCUGGAAGGAGAAAAGACCCAGACAAAUAAUAGCUUUAGAGUUCAGUAACAGCAUAUUGAACUGGCCAGAGAACCUGGAAAUUUUACAAUAUAUUUUUUUUCCAAAGGAAUAGAUAUGUAUGGUAUUUAUCUAAAUUGAAGAUAGUAAGUUUUUGCACUGUUCUGUAUGUUCUCCAUUUUUCCACUACAGUCAGCUGCCUGAAUGCUCAUUUAUUGAGAAGAACAGAAAGGGUUUGAAUAGAGCUUUCCAUGAACACUAUUGUAAGAGAUGAGAUCUACAGGAAGAAUUAAGGAAAUUUAUACCAGGAGCCCAGGAAAGAAAGAAUGAAUGAAAUCCCUGAUGAUGUGCUCAGCAGUGGAGUUGUACAUUAUUGUGAUCCUGUUUAUGACAGCAGAAGGUCCCCUUUAGGUACUGGAAGGCCACAAUGAAGGCCCUGGAGCAUUCUCCUUUCCAGGCUGAACAACCCCAACUCUCUCAGCCUGUCUUCACAGGAGAGGUGCUCCAGCCCUCUGAUCAUCUUUUUGGCCCUUCUCUGGACUCCCUCCAGUGCCUUUCCUGUGCUAAGGACUCCAGAGCUGUAUGCAGUACUCCAGGUGGGGUCUCACCAGAGAAGAGUAGAGGGACAGAAUCACCACUCUUGAGUGUACAUUCCCCUGGACCUUUUCAUGAAGGAAUGUUUAUACCUGUGGGCAAGCACUAAUGGCAGUGAAAGGCUUGCAUUCAUGGGAACAGCAUUUAGCAAUUCAUGGUUGCCAAGGGUGAUGUGCACUGACGACUCAGCCCUCCUUCCUUCCCAUAUCCCAAAUCCCUGAAGAGAGGAGAGGCAGAACAGUUCCUCCAACGAGCAUGAGACUUUGCUUCAGAAUCACUGUAGCAAGGAUUGUGCCGUUCUGGCAGAAAUGAGGAACAAUUUUUUUUUCUGUUCUUGAACCUUCUCUUCAGAAAAAGACAUGGACUGGGGAGAUGAAAGAUCUCAAAUUCUAGACCCACUGUGGCCGACAAACAGCAGAGCCUCCUCAGAGUGCCGCCAUCUGGGAUAUGCCAUCAACUCUAGGAAGCAACCACUCGCAGAUCUAUGGGAAAAGGUGCAACAAAUGCAACAAUCUUUUUCAAGUAUUUCUGCUUCCCAGAGAGAUUUGACAAUCCUGCCUCAGCGCCAGCCAGGGUGUGAUGGGCAGUCUGGCCAGGAAUAUUGGCAGAAAUGUGGGCGAUGCCAAGUGAAAUCUCUUCAGUCCUGUGCUUGGCCUUCUACCAAUCCGUGUGGAAGCGGUGCAGUGCGGCGGUCCGUGAGAGCUCAUUGCAGCAGUGAUUUCCUGUGGAGGUAAUGGUGCUCGGCACCCUGUAUCUCCCAGCCACCUAGUCUUGAAGGAACGGGGAUUGGUUUGGGCUGACUUCUCAGGCUUUCUUAGCAAUGGAGGUAUAAGGAAGUGAAGGAUCUGUUGCACAUACAGAAGAAAUUAUAUGUGUUUGUGCUAAACUUUAAUCUGAGGCUAUUAACAUAAACCAAGUGACCUCUGUAGGAAGAGGUCACUUCACCCCCAGGUCAGGCUUCUUCUUGGUGCAUUCCCUCCACUUAAUAGCUAUGAUUUUUUUUUUUUUAAAUAUUGAAAUAUUGAAAUGCUGGGACAGCAAAAAUCAAAAAAACGAAAUACCUCAAAAUAUUCUAAAGGCUGUAGUAGCCUUAAAAAUUUAAGUAGUAAACAAAAGUUGCCUGGCAGUUUUCUUUAGCUGUGAUAGACAUAUAUAGUUAUCAACACAAUGGCUUUUGCUAGCCAUCGCUUUGCUUCCACAGCAAAGGUUGAAACAAUAACCCUAAACUAAUGAAAAUAAAAAACAGUUCUACAAGCA